RNAcentral lists this small RNA (547 nucleotides) under Histoplasma capsulatum var. duboisii H88. Its description in RNAcentral is "Histoplasma capsulatum H88 hypothetical RNA". Lineage: Eukaryota; Fungi; Ascomycota; Eurotiomycetes; Onygenales; Ajellomycetaceae. The record is from RNAcentral.
ACUGAAGUUAACUUGGAUAUAGAGCGAACUCCACUGUUGAGCAUCGUAAAUGAGCGCGGCUAGGUUGUUCUAGACUAUUUUAUAUACCCACAAUCUGCGCAGAGUUAUGAAUCAGGAAAUUUUAUCUGAGAUUUUUUGCCCGCCGUAUGACUGACGAUCUACUUUUUCCAACUUGGGUGGCUGAAUGUGAUUCACCACGAUUGUCUCAAUCAUUUGCCUCUUCAACAUGCCCUGCGGGAUCUAUAGGGAGCUGGAAGACAGCCUAUAACCCUACCGCGGGAUGUUAUUUGCUUAUUUAUAUUGAGUCUCAAGAAUAACCAGGUUACGAGCUCCAGUGUGUGUAUAGAGAUUUGCGCAGAAUUUGAAUAUGUUCUGGAUUAUUCGGAAUAUGGAGGCAUGGAACAAAAACCCUUGCACCAUCUGGAAACGGAAAAUGAAACCUUCAACACUGAGAUCUUACCCUCAUGGCAGAAGUUAUGAGGGAUGGACACCUCACAUAAAAGCUGAGUUAAGCAUCAAGUCGCUAAAACACAUCCAUAUAGGCCAG